AGCGGUAACAGCUCAAAUUUGAAAUCUGGCCUCACGGUCCGAGUUGUAAUUUGUAGAGGAUGCUUCGAGCAUGGUCUGGCCUAAGUUCCUUGGAACAGGACGUCAUAGAGGGUGAGAAUCCCGUAUGCGGCCAGGUGCCUACGCUCAUGUGAAGCUCCUUCGACGAGUCGAGUUGUUUGGGAAUGCAGCUCAAAAUGGGUGGUAAAUUUCAUCUAAAGCUAAAUAUUGGCCAGAGACCGAUAGCGCACAAGUAGAGUGAUCGAAAGAUGAAAAGCACUUUGGAAAGAGAGUUAAACAGUACGUGAAAUUGUUGAAAGGGAAGCGCUUGCAACCAGACUUGCGCGCGGCCGAUCAUCCGGUGUUCUCACCGGUGCACUCGGCCGUGCUCAGGCCAGCAUCGGUUUUGGCGGCUGGAUAAAGGCCCUAGGAAUGUGGCUCCUCUCGGGGAGUGUUAUAGCCUAGGGUGCAAUGCAGCCUGCUGGGACCGAGGACCGCGCUUCGGCUAGGAUGCUGGCGUAAUGGUUGUAAGCGGCCCGUCUUGAAACACGGACCAAGGAGUCUAACAUCUAUGCGAGUGUUUGGGUGUCAAACCCAUACGCGUAAUGAAAGUGAACGGAGGUGAGAACCCUUAAGGGUGCAUCAUCGACCGAUCCUGAUGUCUUCGGAAGGAUUUGAGUAAGAGCAUAGCUGUUGGGACCCGAAAGAUGGUGAACUAUGCCUGAAUAGGGUGAAGCCAGAGGAAACUCUGGUGGAGGCUCGCAGCGGUUCUGACGUGCAAAUCGAUCGUCAAAUUUGGGUAUAGGGGCGAAAGACUAAUCGAACCAUUGACCUGUAGGACACUA
Molecule: ribosomal RNA, 842 nt
Filed under: Pseudogymnoascus sp.
Lineage: Eukaryota; Fungi; Ascomycota; Leotiomycetes; Thelebolales; Thelebolaceae
Description: partial large subunit ribosomal RNA
Rfam family: Eukaryotic large subunit ribosomal RNA
Source: RNAcentral